Molecule: long non-coding RNA, 174 nt
Organism: Maniola jurtina (meadow brown)
Lineage: Eukaryota; Metazoa; Arthropoda; Insecta; Lepidoptera; Nymphalidae
Exons: 3
Source: RefSeq, a predicted model, not a curated record
AACCUGCCCGGCUUCGCACGGGUGCUUAUCACAAUUUUCGUUGAGAUCUCAUUUUUUUUUUAAAUAAAAUAUAGCCUGUGUUACUCAGGAAUAAUGUAUCUUUCUAUACUGGUGAAAUAAUUUUCCAAAUCGAUUCAAUACUUUCAGAGAUAAGCCUCGAUAGCUCAACGGUUG